GAGAUCUGGAAUAACAGAUGAUAAAAUUUUAACAAUCUGUCUUCAUCAUGAAAAGAUUUUUGGUAUACACUUUGAAAAGAAGCACACAAAAUGUUGUAAUUUAUUGGACAAGCAUAAAUCAAAAAAAAAAGCAAUCAAAGGGAGUCAUGUAAUAACAUUAGACAUGGCAAAACAAUUGAGAAUUAAUUUUCCAAAUGUUGUGCCUGGAUAUCAAAUUUGUCGGAGCUGCUUUGAUGCUAUAAUCAGUAAAUUUCAUGAACAAGAUAAUUGUGAAUUUGAGGAAUCUAUUUCAUGUGCUACUUCUGAAAAGUCACGAAUGGCAUUAAAUAUUAGUUUGGAAACAAUAGGUGUAUCCCCAUAAAACUUCAUGGCAUUCCAAAGCAUCAACGGCUAUCUGUUGCUAAAAGUAAAGUUAUAAAAAUAAUGUCAAAGUAUGAAGAGCAUAUUUCAAAAGUAUAUAAUGUUAGGGAAGAAGAACUGAAACAUAAAAUUCCUCAUACGAAAAUUAUUCAC
Molecule: non-coding RNA, 513 nt
Organism: Hydra vulgaris (swiftwater hydra)
Lineage: Eukaryota; Metazoa; Cnidaria; Hydrozoa; Anthoathecata; Hydridae
Source: RefSeq, a predicted model, not a curated record